CCUACGGGUGGCAGCAGUGAGGAAUAUUGGUCAAUGGACGAGAGUCUGAACCAGCCAAGUAGCGUGAAGGAUGACUGCCCUAUGGGUUGUAAACUUCUUUUAUAUGGGAAUAAAACGUUCCACGUGUGGGAUUUUGUAUGUACCAUAUGAAUAAGGAUCGGCUAACUCCGUGCCAGCAGCCGCGGUAAUACGGAGGAUCCGAGCGUUAUCCGGAUUUAUUGGGUUUAAAGGGAGCGUAGGUGGAUUGUUAAGUCAGUUGUGAAAGUUUGCGGCUCAACCGUAAAAUUGCAGUUGAAACUGGCAGUCUUGAGUACAGUAGAGGUGGGCGGAAUUCGUGGUGUAGCGGUGAAAUGCUUAGAUAUCACGAAGAACUCCGAUUGCGAAGGCAGUUCACUGGACUGCAACUGACACUGAGGCUCGAAAGUGUGGGUAUCAAACAGGAUUAGAUGCCCUUGUAGUC
Molecule: ribosomal RNA, 460 nt
Filed under: uncultured bacterium
Lineage: Bacteria
Description: partial 16S ribosomal RNA
Rfam family: Bacterial small subunit ribosomal RNA
Source: RNAcentral